GUCUACGACCAUACCACCCUGAACACACCUGAUCUCCAAAGCUAAGCCGAGGAUCAGGGCUGGUUAGUGCUUGGAUGGGAGAAUGGAGAUAGAAAUUUUGCUAAUUGAGUGAAGUGACAUUAGUAGGUU
This 129-nucleotide ribosomal RNA is filed under the name Mesocricetus auratus (golden hamster). The record is from RNAcentral. Lineage: Eukaryota; Metazoa; Chordata; Mammalia; Rodentia; Cricetidae.